Mesitornis unicolor (brown roatelo) is the source of this 215-nucleotide long non-coding RNA. RefSeq lists it as uncharacterized. The transcript has 3 exons. NCBI's taxonomy places the organism in Eukaryota, Metazoa, Chordata, Aves, Mesitornithiformes, Mesitornithidae. The record is from RefSeq and is a predicted model, not a curated record.
AAAGAGGAUGAGGGAGUAUACAGAGUUAUAGUUAAGAAUCCAGUGGGAGAAGAUAAGGCUGAUAUCACAGUCAAAGUUAUUGAUGUUCCUGACCCUCCAGAAGCUCCCAAGAUCAGCAACAUUGGAGAAGAUUACUGCACUGUGCAGUGGCAACCCCCUAAAUACGAUGGUGGGCAACCAGUACUUGGCUAUAUUUUAGAGAGAAAAAAGAAGAA